RNAcentral lists this long non-coding RNA (216 nucleotides) under Lupinus angustifolius (narrow-leaved blue lupine). RNAcentral describes it as "long non-coding RNA (LANG_LNC000738)". The record is from RNAcentral. Lineage: Eukaryota; Viridiplantae; Streptophyta; Magnoliopsida; Fabales; Fabaceae.
AGCACCAAGCACUAGGCCAGGUCAGGCAAGCACCAACCACCAAGCCAGGUCAGGCAAGCACCAGGCCAGGUCAGGCAAGCACUAGGCCAGGACAGCCAGGUCCACGCCCAACUGGAACCAGGUCACGCCCAGCGUGGACCAAGCUGGUGCCGAGCGUGAACCAAACUAUUGCCCAGCAUGGACCAGUCUGACCUGGCUGACCUGGACAACAAACCC